GACGAACGCUGGCGGCGUGCCUAAUACAUGCAAGUAGAACGCUGAAGGAGGAGCUUGCUUCUCUGGAUGAGUUGCGAACGGGUGAGUAACGCGUAGGUAACCUGCCUGGUAUCGGGGGAUAACUAUUGGAAACGAUAGCUAAUACCGCAUAAGAGUAGAUGUUGCAUGACAUUUGCUUAAAAGUUGCAAUUGCAUCACUACCAGAUGGACCUGCGUUGUAUUAGCUAGUUGGGGGGGUAACGGCUCACCAAGGCGACGAUACAUAUCCGGCCUGAGAGGGUGGUCGGCCACACUGGGACUUGGACACGGCCCAGGCUCCUUAGGGAAGCAGCAGUAGGGAAUCUUCGGCAAUGGGCGGAAGGCUGACCCAACAACGCCGCGUGAGUGAAGAAGGUUUUCGGAUCGUAAAGCUCUGUUGUAAGGGAAGAACGAGUGUGAGAGUGGAAAGUUCACGCUGUGACGGUAUCUAACCAGAAAGCGACGGCUAACUACGUG
RNAcentral lists this ribosomal RNA (495 nucleotides) under uncultured bacterium. Its description in RNAcentral is "partial 16S ribosomal RNA". It matches the Rfam family "Bacterial small subunit ribosomal RNA", at positions 28 to 507 of the family's 1533-position model. The record is from RNAcentral.